UAGAGUUUGAUCCUGGCUCAGGAUGAACGCUAGCUACAGGCUUAACACAUGCAAGUCGAGGGGAAACGACAUCGAAAGCUUGCUUUUGAUGGGCGUCGACCGGCGCACGGGUGAGUAACGCGUAUCCAACCUGCCCAUCACUUGGGAAUAACCUUGCGAAAGUAAGACUAAUACCCAAUGAUAUCUCUAGAAGACAUCUGAAGGAGAUUAAAGAUUUAUCGGUGAUGGAUGGGGAUGCGUCUGAUUAGCUUGUUGGCGGGGUAACGGCCCACCAAGGCGACGAUCAGUAGGGGUUCUGAGAGGAAGGUCCCCCACAUUGGAACUGAGACACGGUCCAAACUCCUACGGGAGGCAGCAGUGAGGAAUAUUGGUCAAUGGGCGAGAGCCUGAACCAGCCAAGUAGCGUGAAGGAUGACUGCCCUAUGGGUUGUAAACUUCUUUUAUACGGGAAUAAAGUGAGGCACGUGUGCCUUUUUGUAUGUACCGUAUGAAUAAGGAUCGGCUAACUCCGUGCCAGCAGCCGCGGUAAUACGGAGGAUCCGAGCGUUAUCCGGAUUUAUUGGGUUUAAAGGGAGCGUAGGCGGACGCUUAAGUCAGUUGUGAAAGUUUGCGGCUCAACCGUAAAAUUGCAGUUGAUACUGGGUGUCUUGAGUACAGUAGAGGCAGGCGGAAUUCGUGGUGUAGCGGUGAAAUGCUUAGAUAUCACGAAGAACUCCGAUUGCGAAGGCAGCUUGCUGGACUGUAACUGACGCUGAUGCUCGAAAGUGUGGGUAUCAAACAGGAUUAGAUACCCUGGUAGUCCACACAGUAAACGAUGAAUACUCGCUGUUUGCGAUAUACAGUAAGCGGCCAAGCGAAAGCGUUAAGUAUUCCACCUGGGGAGUACGCCGGCAACGGUGAAACUCAAAGGAAUUGACGGGGGCCCGCACAAGCGGAGGAACAUGUGGUUUAAUUCGAUGAUACGCGAGGAACCUUACCCGGGCUUGAAUUGCAACUGAAUGAUGUGGAGACAUGUCAGCCGCAAGGCAGUUGUGAAGGUGCUGCAUGGUUGUCGUCAGCUCGUGCCGUGAGGUGUCGGCUUAAGUGCCAUAACGAGCGCAACCCUUAUCGAUAGUUACCAUCAGGUUAUGCUGGGGACUCUGUCGAGACUGCCGUCGUAAGAUGUGAGGAAGGUGGGGAUGACGCCAAAUCAGCACGGCCCUUACGUCCGGGGCUACACACGUGUUACAAUGGGGGGUACAGAAGGCAGCUACACGGCGACGUGAUGCUAAUCCCGAAAGCCUCUCUCAGUUCGGAUUGGAGUCUGCAACCCGACUCCAUGAAGCUGGAUUCGCUAGUAAUCGCGCAUCAGCCACGGCGCGGUGAAUACGUUCCCGGGCCUUGUACACACCGCCCGUCA
Molecule: ribosomal RNA, 1399 nt
Filed under: uncultured bacterium
Lineage: Bacteria
Description: 16S ribosomal RNA
Rfam family: Bacterial small subunit ribosomal RNA
Source: RNAcentral